RNAcentral lists this ribosomal RNA (254 nucleotides) under uncultured bacterium. RNAcentral's name for it is "partial 16S ribosomal RNA". It matches the Rfam family "Bacterial small subunit ribosomal RNA", at positions 524 to 776 of the family's 1533-position model. The record is from RNAcentral.
UACGUAGGGUGCGAGCGUUAAUCGGAAUUACUGGGCGUAAAGCGUGCGCAGGCGGUCCGCAAAGUCUGAUGUGAAAGCCCCGGGCUCAACCUGGGAACUGCAUUGGAAACUAACGGGCUCGAGUGUGGCAGAGGGGGGUGGGAAUUCCACGUGUAGCAGUGAAAUGCGUAGAUAUCUGGAGGAACACCGGUGGCGAAGGCGGCAUCCUGGACCAACACUGACACUGAGGAGCGAAAGCGUGGGGAGCGAACAGG